RNAcentral lists this ribosomal RNA (460 nucleotides) under uncultured bacterium. RNAcentral describes it as "partial 16S ribosomal RNA". It matches the Rfam family "Bacterial small subunit ribosomal RNA", at positions 338 to 795 of the family's 1533-position model. The record is from RNAcentral.
CCUACGGGUGGCAGCAGUGAGGACUAUUGGUCAAUGGACGAGAGUCUGAACCAGCCAAGUAGCGUGAAGGAUGAAUGCCCUAUGGGUUGUAAACUUCUUUUAUAUGGGAAUAAAAUGUUCCACGUGUGGGAUUUUGUAUGUACCAUAUGAAUAAGGAUCGGCUAACUCCGUGCCAGCAGCCGCGGUAAUACGGAGGAUCCGAGCGUUAUCCGGAUUUAUUGGGUUUAAAGGGAGCGUAGGUGGAUUGUUAAGUCAGUUGUGAAAGUUUGCGGCUCAACCGUAAAAUUCCAGUUGAAACUGGCAGUCUUGAGUACAGUAGAGGUGGGCGGAAUUCGUGGUGUAGCGGUGAAAUGCUUAGAUAUCACGAAGAACUCCGAUUGCGAAGGCAGUUCACUGGACUGCAACUGACACUGAGGCUCGAAAGUGUGGGUAUCAAACAGGAUUAGAUACCCUAGUAGUC